GCUCUCUUAGCUCAGCUGGAUAGAGCAUCGGACUUCUAAUCCGAGGGUCGGGGGUUCGAAUCCCUCAGGGAGCACCA
This 77-nucleotide transfer RNA is filed under the name Actinomycetes bacterium. RNAcentral describes it as "tRNA-Arg(tct)". It matches the Rfam family "tRNA". From Rfam's summary of the family: Transfer RNA (tRNA) molecules are approximately 80 nucleotides in length. Their secondary structure includes four short double-helical elements and three loops (D, anti-codon, and T loops). Lineage: Bacteria; Bacillati; Actinomycetota; Actinomycetes. The record is from RNAcentral. RNAcentral also lists the same sequence under 2 other names.